CCUAUAGGUGACCUGCGGAGGAUAUUACCUAGAGUUGCGGGCUUUGCCUGCUAUCUCUUACCCAUGUCUUUUGAGUACCUUCGUUUCCUCGGCGGGUUCGCCCGCCGAUUGGACAAUUUAAACCAUUUGCAGUUGCAAUCAGCGUCUGAAAAAACUUAAUAGUUACAACUUUCAACAACGGAUCUCUUGGUUCUGGCAUCGAUGAAGAACGCAGCGAAAUGCGAUAAGUAGUGUGAAUUGCAGAAUUCAGUGAAUCAUCGAAUCUUUGAACGCACAUUGCGCCCCUUGGUAUUCCAUGGGGCAUGCCUGUUCGAGCGUCAUUUGUACCUUCAAGCUCUGCUUGGUGUUGGGUGUUUGUCUCGCCUCUGCGCGCAGACUCGCCUCAAAACAAUUGGCAGCCGGCGUAUUGAUUUCGGAGCGCAGUACAUCUCGCGCUUUGCACUCAUAACGACGACGUCCAAAAGUACAUUUUUACACUCUUGACCUCGGAUCAGGUAGGGAUACCCGCUGAACUUAAGCAAU
This 522-nucleotide small RNA is filed under the name Didymella coffeae-arabicae. RNAcentral's name for it is "eukaryotic LSU rRNA". The stretch from base 167 to 320 matches the Rfam family "5.8S ribosomal RNA". Lineage: Eukaryota; Fungi; Ascomycota; Dothideomycetes; Pleosporales; Didymellaceae. The record is from RNAcentral.